This 520-nucleotide small RNA is filed under the name uncultured Glomus. Its description in RNAcentral is "SSU rRNA". It matches the Rfam family "Eukaryotic small subunit ribosomal RNA", at positions 569 to 1090 of the family's 1831-position model. The record is from RNAcentral. Lineage: Eukaryota; Fungi; Glomeromycota; Glomeromycetes; Glomerales; Glomeraceae.
AGCAGCCGCGGUAAUUCCAGCUCCAAUAGCGUAUAUUAAAGUUGUUGCAGUUAAAAAGCUCGUAGUUGAAUUUCGGGGUUAGUAGGUUGGUCAUGCCUCUGGUAUGUACUGGUCUCACUGAUUCCUCCUUCCUGAUGAACCGUAAUGCCAUUAAUUUGGUGUUGCGGGGAAUUUGGACUGUUACUUUGAAAAAAUUAGAGUGUUUAAAGCAAGCUAACGCUUGAAUACAUUAGCAUGGAAUAAUGAAAUAGGACGUUCGAUCCUAUUUUGUUGGUUUCUAGGAUUGACGUAAUGAUUAAUAGGGAUAGUUGGGGGCAUUAGUAUUCAAUUGUCAGAGGUGAAAUUCUUGGAUUUAUUGAAGACUAACUACUGCGAAAGCAUUUGCCAAGGAUGUUUUCAUUAAUCAAGAACGAAAGUUAGGGGAUCGAAGACGAUCAGAUACCGUCGUAGUCUUAACCAUAAACUAUGCCGACUAGGGAUCGGAUGAUGUUAAUUUUUUAAUGACUCAUUCGGCGCCUUA